This 541-nucleotide ribosomal RNA is filed under the name uncultured bacterium. Its description in RNAcentral is "bacterial SSU rRNA". It matches the Rfam family "Bacterial small subunit ribosomal RNA", at positions 355 to 896 of the family's 1533-position model. The record is from RNAcentral.
UGAGGAAUAUUGGCCAAUGGACGGAAGUCUGAACCAGCCAAGUAGCGUGCAGGAUUGACGGCCCUAUGGGUUGUAAACUGCUUUUGUUGGGGAGUAAAGUGAGGCACGCGUGCCUUUUUGCAUUUACCCUUCGAAUAAGGACCGGCUAAUUCCGUGCCAGCAGCCGCGGUAAUACGGAAGGUCCAGGCGUUAUCCGAAUUUAUUGGGUUUAAAGGGAGUGUAGGCGGUCUGUUAAGCGUGUUGUGAGAUUUAGGUGCUCAACAUCUACCUUGCAGCGCGAACUGGCGGACUUGAGUGCACGCAACGUAUGCGGAAUUCAUGGUGUAGCGGUGAAAUGCUUAGAUAUCAUGACGAACUCCGAUUGCGAAGGCAGCGUACGGGAGUGUUACUGACGCUUAAGCUCGAAGGUGCGGGUAUCGAACAGGAUUAGAUACCCUGGUAGUCCGCACGGUAAACGAUGGAUGCCCGCUGUUAGCGCCUGGCGUUAGCGGCUAAGCGAAAGCAUUAAGCAUCCCACCUGGGGAGUACGCCGGCAACGGUG